This 755-nucleotide long non-coding RNA is filed under the name Nicotiana tabacum (common tobacco). RNAcentral's name for it is "long non-coding RNA (NTAB_LNC003073)". Lineage: Eukaryota; Viridiplantae; Streptophyta; Magnoliopsida; Solanales; Solanaceae. The record is from RNAcentral.
AGAUUGGAAAGUUAUAGUUCCUUUUAAGGACAAAUUCGCGAAGAGGCCAACUUAAGGUGCAAAGGGACUUAUAUGUCCACAUAAUGUGGCUUGACUAUCAGAGAGAUUACUCUCAAAACAGCCCGACUAUCGGAGAGAUUACUCUCAAUGUGGCCUAACUAUCGGAGAGAUUACUCUCAAAAUGGCCCGACUAUCGGAGAUAUUACUCUCAAAAUGGCCCGACUAUUGAAGAGAUUACUCUCAAUGUGGCCUGACUAUCAGAGAGAUUACUCUCAAAACGGCCCGACUAUCGGAGAGAUUACUCUCAAUGUGGCCUGACUAUCGGAGAGAUUACUCUCAAAACGGCCUGACUAUCAGAGAUAUUACUCUCAAUGUGGCCUGACUAUCGAAGAGAUUACUCUCAAAACGACUUGACUUUCGGCAAGGCCAACUUAAGGUGCAAAGGGAUUUAUAUGUCCACCUUAAGAUUGGAAAGUUAUAGUUCCUUUUAAGGACAAAUCCGCGAAGAGGCCAACUUAAGGUGCAAAGGGACUUAUAUGUCCACCUUAAGAUUGGAAGACUUAUAUGUCCACAGAAUGUGGCUUGACUAUCGAAAGAUAUUACUCUCAAAAUGGCCCGACUAUCUGAGAGAUUACUCUCAAUGUGGCCUGACUAUCGGAGAGAUUACUCUCAAAACGACCCGACUUUCGGCAAGGCCAACUUAAGGUGAAAAGGGAGUCAUAUGUCCACCUUAAGAUUGGAAAGUUAUAAAGCUU